RNAcentral lists this ribosomal RNA (253 nucleotides) under uncultured bacterium. RNAcentral describes it as "partial 16S ribosomal RNA". It matches the Rfam family "Bacterial small subunit ribosomal RNA", at positions 524 to 776 of the family's 1533-position model. The record is from RNAcentral.
UACAGAGGUCUCAAGCGUUGUUCGGAUUCAUUGGGCGUAAAGGGCGCGUAGGUGGCCUGGUAAGUAGGGGGUGAAAUCCUGCGGCUUAACCGCAGGGCUGCCUUCUAAACUGUCAGGCUCGAGCACGGUAGAGGCAGAUGGAAUUCCCGGUGUAGCGGUGGAAUGCGUAGAGAUCGGGAAGAACAUCAGUGGCGAAGGCGGUCUGCUGGGCCGUUGCUGACGCUGAGGCGCGACAGCGUGGGGAGCGAACAGG